AGUUCGAGCUUUUGAACCAUUUUUUAUUUGGUCUAAACUGUGUUUCGGAAGAAACGAUUGUGCCGCGCCAAGGAUAUCAUCACAAUUUUUAAAUACACCCAAUAUUGACACCGAAUUCAAUAAUAUCUUAGCCGUUCCUAUCACACCGAAACUCCAUAUAUGCACGUCCCCCCAUCCAAUAUGCAAUUAAUUCGAGAGCGGCUCUUUGCACUUAAGUACUAUGUUCGGCCUUGUCCUUUAGUUUGGAGUGCUCACAUGUCAAUGUACUGCCCAAUGUCGUAAGGGUCGAAGUCGCUUUGGACACGAUAAGGGUUGUAGAUAUAUACAGGGUUGCGAAGCUCGGGAUUAAAUAGAGUAAAAUAGCCAUUGUCGUCAGGAGCGAUAGGAAAUUCGUUCAUAGCAGUUCGUAAUUCCUGGUCAAAAUCCUCUGCGGUAUAGGGGUUUGGAUUUACACACUCAAAAUUGCCCUGAAGAUGCAUGAUGCUGUUGACAUUAAGGGCAGCGUCACUGUUUGGUUCUGACCCAAUGCCAGAAGAGCUUAUGGCAAGGCUCUCGGCGCUUCCUGUCUCAGUAUCAAUGACGAGAUUCGGAUUCGCCGUUGCAAGUUUAGGCGAGCCGUUAUGAGCCGUUCGAGGCCUGGGCGAACUGGCUGUAUUUUGUUGGCAGAGGUUACUUGAUUGGGGGUAAUGACCA
RNAcentral lists this small RNA (693 nucleotides) under Histoplasma ohiense. RNAcentral describes it as "hypothetical lncRNA". Lineage: Eukaryota; Fungi; Ascomycota; Eurotiomycetes; Onygenales; Ajellomycetaceae. The record is from RNAcentral.